GGUAAACAGUAAAGAUGGCGACUUCUGUAGCUGGAGAGGGGCAACACAGUCUAAAUGGGAUUAUAUGCGACACACAAGCUAAAAAACUGACUGACCUGCCGACCGAGUUACUCGAACACAUCCUGUGCUUCCCCGUCCUCGACCAUGUCGACAUUUGUAACGUAUCCUGCUGCUGCAAACGGCUACACGACGUCUGCCAUGGAAGGGGGAAGGUCUGGGGACACCAGUACAAACUGAGAUGGCCAAGACUGCAAAUGUUUUACCGUCAGAAUGAGUGCUGUGACUGGCUCAGAGAAUACAAAACACGCCAUAGAGUUGGUAUACAAAUACGAAGGACCGUGGAAUCGAUCUCCAAGAGGUUCUUCACAGAAGUCCCUUGCGUUGGCCAGGUGCUGGGAGACAGCUUUGCAGAGAUCGAGUCACUCGGGAUGCCGGAGCAUUUCUGCGAAGACGAGCUCCUCUUCAUACUCAACUCUGACAAGAGGUUGAGAGCAACAGUGUGCACGCACAGCAACACCUCAACACUUGCCACACACUUUUUUGUAAUCGUUAAUGGGUUUGGGUGUUGGAUCUUGUUGAUCCGGAUUAUUAAAAUCUCCUGUUGUGUUGCACACCGUGAAUGUGUCUCUCUCUUCUGUUUUGCGCCCAUCAUUAGGAAAAGCUUGACUUUGAAGUACUAUGCAAAGAAAAUCCUUUACUUCCUGAGACAACAGAACAUCCUGAGGAGUUUGAAGACCUUCAUGGAGCAGCCUGCAGAUCAGCAGUCAUCGUUGGAGGGUGCUGUACUGGUUGAUCAGUAUUGUAACCCUCUGGCUGAUGUAACACUGAACAGCGUAUCAGCCCAGCUGGACGAGAUUGCAGAAAAAGUGAAGAAGAUGCUGAGAAUCAAGAACCCCUCUCACCCCAGCCUGCGUAUCGCUCAAGGUGACUGUUUAGUGGUGGAGGACUUCGAGCUCCAGAGGCAGCUGGUGUCCGCCCUAAACUCUGUCUUAUACGAGCAGCUUCAAUACAAAGGCAACGAGUUUGACUACUACAACCCUCUUAACUCUUAUAUCCACCAGGUGCUACUACGCCGUACAGGCAUUCCCAUAAGUCUCUCUGUCCUCUACAUGAACUUAGCCCGGAAGCUGGGGGUUCAGCUGGAACCGGUCAACUUUCCUAAUCACUUCCUGCUGCGCUGGUGCCAAAAACCAACAGUGAGUGAGGACAUCUAUGACUUUGUCUACAUUGAUGCCUUUGGUAAAGGCAAACAGCUGACCGCCAAGGAGUGCGAGUACCUCAUUGGCCACCAGGUGACGGCAGACUACUACAGUGCCAUCAGCACCACCGAGGUGCUGCUCAGGAUGGUGGGAAACCUGCUUAACAUCGGCAAAAGAGGGGAGGGCAAUGAGAAAUCCUACCAGCUGUUGAGAGACUCUCUGGACCUCUACCUCACUAUAAACCCAGAUAAUGUGCAGUACCUGCUGCUGCAGGCACGCCUCUACUUCCAUCUGGGCAUCUGGCCAGAAAAGGUGCUUGACAUCCUGCAGCACAUUCAGGCGUUGGAUCCCUCCCAGCAUGGGGCGGUGGGUUACCUGGUGCAGCACACGCUGGAGCACAUCCAGCACAAGAAACAUCCCGUCACACCCGAGGAGAAGAAGCGCAGCGCUCCAGAACACCUGGAGGUCCAGUAUUCCGUUGGCCUCAUCAUGAAACACAAGAGGUCAGGGUAUAACUGUGUGAUCUAUGGCUGGGACCCAAAGUGCACCAUGAGUCAGGAGUGGAUCACCACCAUGAGGGUCCACCAGCUGUCCAACGGGGCCAACCAGCCUUUCUACAACGUCCUCGUGCAGGACGGAACGUGUCGCUACGCAGCACAAGAGAACCUGGAGCCCCACUCAGCUCCCCUGGAGAUCGGCCACCCGGAGGUGGGACGUUACUUCUCAGAGUUUGCCAACACCUACUACUUUGCCAAUGAAGAACUGCAGACGCGAUACCCAGAGGACAUAGUUGAAACUUUGGGCAUGGUGCAGGAGCUUUACCACAGACUGACACCUGGCCUUGGGAACCAGGACCAGGCUUCUGCCACAGACCAGAACAACCACCGAGCCACGCCCAUGUAGCAGCGCCGCUGUGACAAACCCGGGAUAACCGAUUACUGGUCACCCAUUCUCAAUUCACAGUCCACUUAGCUGUUGCUUUGUUGCGCAUACUCAAGACCAGGACGUUUGUAAAAAAAAACAGGUCGUAUACAGUAUUCUCAGAAAUUGAUGAAUUUGUGUAACAAGAAAUGAUUCACAAAUGUGAUUUUUGUACCACAGUCAGGCUCCAGUGCAGAUCAGGAAAGAAAUACCUGAAAAAGUCUAGAAACAUGCAGCAAAGAUCGUUAGUGAUUGGACACACGCGUCUAAUACCACGGUGUUGUUGUGAAAACAAAGCUCAAACGAAGGAGCGAUGUGGCCCAGACGAUGGUCGUCAUCCAGGAUGCAGGAUCCUCAAAUCCAGUCAUGCAGGAGGCUCUAAAUUCGCCGUGGUGGACGCUGCCCAGCUGUCGUCUCACUCAGAACACCAACUCGGCCUCCAACAAUGUAAUUGGUUUCACAAACAUCUAUUUUUUGCAGACUCCCUCUGACAGUGCUGCAUUUUCAACAUCUUCAAGUCCCUCAAAUCCACAAGUCUGUCAUUGUCAACCAACCAAUCUACUUCGCUUUAUAUUGAUACAUGGCACAUUUUACUUUUUAUUAAUAAUAUAUCUAUCUAUCUAUCUAUCACAUACACACAACACGUAACAUUAAAACAAACAACAAUUUAAUGUAAAUAUAAACUCAAAAAUAAAUAUAUAUAUUACAUUGAUACUGAGCCCUUUAAUGCAUUUUUCCCGGGGACUCACUUUUUAAAAAUGACAAAACAUUGCGACCCAAUUCAUUCACAGCAGGCCUCAUCUAUGAAUCAUAAGAGCGAAUUUGUGCAUAAAGGAACAUUCCUGAACAUUUUUACUGCCACUUGAAGAGAUGUAUGUUUAAAGUAAUCACAACUUUGUUUUAUGCAUGUGUUAUUGAAAACAUAAACACGUUAAAUACUUUAUAAAUAAGACUCCAUUUAGAUUCAAUGUUAUAAGUAGCUACAAUUAUUAUUGCAUAUUUAUUUUAGACCCUGAUGACUCACUGGAAAGUGAAGCAUUCAAUGGCCAUGUAAAUAUUCACAGGCUGAAAUACAUUUAAAAAUGUAAUUUAUGGAAUUUAGCGUUACACGUCGGCGAUUUCUGGUCCCCUCUCCAUUUUGAUAAUCGUCCCGUUUGCGGUCCUACAGUCGGUUCAAUAAGAGCACAAGUAAACACAAGUUAGGUUACUAACAUUACAUCUAAACGCUGUAAUCGGUGAUUAACUUUAUUUACGUUACCUUAAUUUGCUAUCCCGUUAGCUAGCUAACCUUUCUCAGGCUAAUAGAGCGCGAGCUAGCUGACGUCACAGAGCUAGCUCCAAUAUUAGCAACCGGAUGUAACGAAACAGACCAAGUGAAACAUUAUCUGAGAUGUUAACAGUUCAAUAAUCAUGAACCCGAAACAAUAAUGGAGACUUUCGGGUGAUAAGCUUAACUUUAUGGUGAUCUCCACAUGGCUGUUGCUCAGAAGGACGAACUGAAGCUGUUGUGUCCAAAGUCACAUUCAGGAGCAGUUGCAUCUUGUCGCUCAAAAAUGACUUCUAGGCAAUGAGCAGUUUGAAUAAUAAAAUAUAUAUUAUAUCAUCAUUACAGACACAUUAACCUACAACAAACAGUACAAUGUAGAUGGAUUGAGAUUAACUGAAUUUGUAUACAGAAGCGUGAAUCCACCUCUUCACAAAAAAAUAUUGUAUCAUGCUGCUAAAUUACAGUAGUCUGCUGUUGUUGUCAUUUUACGGCAUUAACUGUUAAUUUACAUGCGAGGGAUGAACAUUUAUGUUCCAGUUAUUAUGAAAUACUGUAAGAUAACGUUGAAAAUCCACCGUAAAUUCACAGCAAUUCGUUCCAGUGGAUAGCUUUUAUUCACUGUAGAAAUUCAGAAUAAGAGGAGUACUGGUAAUUGUUUUUUCCCCCGUACUUUACGCAC
Molecule: RNA transcript, 4066 nt
Organism: Anarrhichthys ocellatus (wolf-eel)
Lineage: Eukaryota; Metazoa; Chordata; Actinopteri; Perciformes; Anarhichadidae
Gene: fbxo21
Gene name: F-box protein 21
Exons: 12
Source: RefSeq, a predicted model, not a curated record